GGUUAAGCGACUAAGCGUACACGGUGGAUGCCCUGGCAGUCAGAGGCGAUGAAGGACGUGCUAAUCUGCGAAAAGCGCCGGCGAGGUGAUAUGAACCCUUGACCCGGCGAUGUCCGAAUGGGGAAACCCAGUGCAAUCCGUUGCACUAUCGUUAACUGAAUACAUAGGUUAACGAGGCGAACCGGGGGAACUGAAACAUCUAAGUACCCCGAGGAAAAGAAAUCAACCGAGAUUCCCCCAGUAGCGGCGAGCGAACGGGGAGCAGCCCGGAGUCUGAAUCAGCUUGUGUGUUAGUGGAACGGUCUGGAAAGUCCGACGGUACAGGGUGAUAGUCCCGUACACGAAAGCACACUUGCUGUGAACUCGAAGAGUAGGGCGGGACACGUGGUAUCCUGUCUGAAUAUGGGGGGACCAUCCUCCAAGGCUAAAUACUCCUGACUGACCGAUAGUGAACCAGUACCGUGAGGGAAAGGCGAAAAGAACCCCGGCGAGGGGAGUGAAAAAGAACCUGAAACCGUGUACGUACAAGCAGUGGGAGCCUCUUUAUGGGGUGACUGCGUACCUUUUGUAUAAUGGGUCAGCGACUUAUAUUCUGUAGCAAGGUUAACCGUAUAGGGGAGCCGAAGGGAAACCGAGUCUUAACUGGGCGUUAAGUUGCAGGGUAUAGACCCGAAACCCGGUGAUCUAGCCAUGGGCAGGUUGAAGGUUGGGUAACACUAACUGGAGGACCGAACCGACUAAUGUUGAAAAAUUAGCGGAUGACCUGUGGCUGGGGGUGAAAGGCCAAUCAAACCGGGAGAUAGCUGGUUCUCCCCGAAAGCUAUUUAGGUAGCGCCUCGUGAACUCAUCUUCGGGGGUAGAGCACUGUUUCGGCUAGGGGGCCAUCCCGGCUUACCAACCCGAUGCAAACUACGAAUACCGAAGAAUGUUAUCACGGGAGACACACGGCGGGUGCUAACGUCCGUCGUGAAGAGGGAAACAACCCAGACCGCCAGCUAAGGUCCCAAAGUCAUGGUUAAGUGGGAAACGAUGUGGGAAGGCACAGACAGCCAGGAUGUUGGCUUAGAAGCAGCCAUCAUUUAAAGAAAGCGUAAUAGCUCACUGGUCGAGUCGGCCUGCGCGGAAGAUGUAACGGGGCUAAACCAUGCACCGAAGCUGCGGCAGCGACACUAUGUGUUGUUGGGUAGGGGAGCGUUCUGUAAGCCGUUGAAGGUGUGCUGUGAGGCAUGCUGGAGGUAUCAGAAGUGCGAAUGCUGACAUAAGUAACGAUAAAGCGGGUGAAAAGCCCGCUCGCCGGAAGACCAAGGGUUCCUGUCCAACGUUAAUCGGGGCAGGGUGAGUCGACCCCUAAGGCGAGGCCGAAAGGCGUAGUCGAUGGGAAACAGGUUAAUAUUCCUGUACUUGGUGUUACUGCGAAGGGGGGACGGAGAAGGCUAUGUCAGCCGGGCGACGGUUGUCCCGGUUUAAGCAUGUAGGCGGAGGUUCCAGGUAAAUCCGGUACCUUUUAACGCUGAGGUGUGAUGACGAGGCACUACGGUGCUGAAGUGAUAAAUGCCCUGCUUCCAGGAAAAGCCUCUAAGCAUCAGGUAACACGAAAUCGUACCCCAAACCGACACAGGUGGUCAGGUAGAGAAUACCAAGGCGCUUGAGAGAACUCGGGUGAAGGAACUAGGCAAAAUGGUGCCGUAACUUCGGGAGAAGGCACGCUGAUGUGUAGGUGAAGCCCCUGCGGGCGGAGCUGAAAUCAGUCGAAGAUACCAGCUGGCUGCAACUGUUUAUUAAAAACACAGCACUGUGCAAACACGAAAGUGGACGUAUACGGUGUGACGCCUGCCCGGUGCCGGAAGGUUAAUUGAUGGGGUUAGCGGCAACGCGAAGCUCUUGAUCGAAGCCCCGGUAAACGGCGGCCGUAACUAUAACGGUCCUAAGGUAGCGAAAUUCCUUGUCGGGUAAGUUCCGACCUGCACGAAUGGCGUAAUGAUGGCCAGGCUGUCUCCACCCGAGACUCAGUGAAAUUGAACUCGCUGUGAAGAUGCAGUGUACCCGCGGCAAGACGGAAAGACCCCGUGAACCUUUACUAUAGCUUGACACUGAACACUGGUCCUUGAUGUGUAGGAUAGGUGGGAGGCUUUGAAGCGUGGACGCCAGUCUGCGUGGAGCCAACCUUGAAAUACCACCCUUUAAUGGCUGGUGUUCUAACGUGGACCCGUAAUCCGGGUUGCGGACAGUGUCUGGUGGGUAGUUUGACUGGGGCGGUCUCCUCCCAAAGAGUAACGGAGGAGCACGAAGGUUGGCUAAUCCUGGUCGGACAUCAGGAGGUUAGUGCAAUGGCAUAAGCCAGCUUGACUGCGAGCGUGACGGCGCGAGCAGGUGCGAAAGCAGGUCAUAGUGAUCCGGUGGUUCUGAAUGGAAGGGCCAUCGCUCAACGGAUAAAAGGUACUCCGGGGAUAACAGGCUGAUACCGCCCAAGAGUUCAUAUCGACGGCGGUGUUUGGCACCUCGAUGUCGGCUCAUCACAUCCUGGGGCUGAAGUAGGUCCCAAGGGUAUGGCUGUUCGCCAUUUAAAGUGGUACGCGAGCUGGGUUUAGAACGUCGUGAGACAGUUCGGUCCCUAUCUGCCGUGGGCGCUGGAGAAUUGAGGGGGGCUGCUCCUAGUACGAGAGGACCGGAGUGGACGCAUCACUGGUGUUCGGGUUGUCAUGCCAAUGGCACUGCCCGGUAGCUAAAUGCGGAAGAGAUAAGUGCUGAAAGCAUCUAAGCACGAAACUUGCCCCGAGAUGAGUUCUCCCUGAGACUUUAAGUCUCCUGAAGGAACGUUGAAGACGACGACGUUGAUAGGUCGGGUGUGUAAGCGCAGCGAUGCGUUGAGCUAACCGAUACUAAUGAACCGUGAGGCUUAACCUU
Molecule: ribosomal RNA, 2904 nt
Filed under: Enterobacter hormaechei
Lineage: Bacteria; Pseudomonadati; Pseudomonadota; Gammaproteobacteria; Enterobacterales; Enterobacteriaceae
Description: 23S ribosomal RNA
Rfam family: Bacterial large subunit ribosomal RNA
Source: RNAcentral